Molecule: non-coding RNA, 78 nt
Organism: Podarcis lilfordi (Lilford's wall lizard)
Lineage: Eukaryota; Metazoa; Chordata; Lepidosauria; Squamata; Lacertidae
Source: the annotation of a GenBank genome assembly
GCAUGGCUCCAUCGGUAGAGCAUGAGACUCUGAAUCUCAGGGUCAUGGGUUUGGGCAAAACAUUCCUGCAUUGCAGCG